UUAAGCGACUAAGCGUACACGGUGGAUGCCCUGGCAGUCAGAGGCGAUGAAGGACGUGCUAAUCUGCGAUAAGCGUCGGUAAGGUGAUAUGAACCGUUAUAACCGGCGAUUUCCGAAUGGGGAAACCCAGUGUGAUUCGUCACACUAUCAUUAACUGAAUCCAUAGGUUAAUGAGGCGAACCGGGGGAACUGAAACAUCUAAGUACCCCGAGGAAAAGAAAUCAACCGAGAUUCCCCCAGUAGCGGCGAGCGAACGGGGAGCAGCCCAGAGCCUGAAUCAGUGUGUGUGUUAGUGGAAGCGUCUGGAAAGGCGCGCGAUACAGGGUGACAGCCCCGUACACAAAAAUGCACAUGCUGUGAGCUCGAUGAGUAGGGCGGGACACGUGGUAUCCUGUCUGAAUAUGGGGGGACCAUCCUCCAAGGCUAAAUACUCCUGACUGACCGAUAGUGAACCAGUACCGUGAGGGAAAGGCGAAAAGAACCCCGGCGAGGGGAGUGAAAAAGAACCUGAAACCGUGUACGUACAAGCAGUGGGAGCACGCUUAGGCGUGUGACUGCGUACCUUUUGUAUAAUGGGUCAGCGACUUAUAUUCUGUAGCAAGGUUAACCGAAUAGGGGAGCCGAAGGGAAACCGAGUCUUAACUGGGCGUUAAGUUGCAGGGUAUAGACCCGAAACCCGGUGAUCUAGCCAUGGGCAGGUUGAAGGUUGGGUAACACUAACUGGAGGACCGAACCGACUAAUGUUGAAAAAUUAGCGGAUGACUUGUGGCUGGGGGUGAAAGGCCAAUCAAACCGGGAGAUAGCUGGUUCUCCCCGAAAGCUAUUUAGGUAGCGCCUCGUGAAUUCAUCUCCGGGGGUAGAGCACUGUUUCGGCAAGGGGGUCAUCCCGACUUACCAACCCGAUGCAAACUGCGAAUACCGGAGAAUGUUAUCACGGGAGACACACGGCGGGUGCUAACGUCCGUCGUGAAGAGGGAAACAACCCAGACCGCCAGCUAAGGUCCCAAAGUCAUGGUUAAGUGGGAAACGAUGUGGGAAGGCCCAGACAGCCAGGAUGUUGGCUUAGAAGCAGCCAUCAUUUAAAGAAAGCGUAAUAGCUCACUGGUCGAGUCGGCCUGCGCGGAAGAUGUAACGGGGCUAAACCAUGCACCGAAGCUGCGGCAGCGACACUAUGUGUUGUUGGGUAGGGGAGCGUUCUGUAAGCCUGUGAAGGUGUACUGUGAGGUAUGCUGGAGGUAUCAGAAGUGCGAAUGCUGACAUAAGUAACGAUAAAGCGGGUGAAAAGCCCGCUCGCCGGAAGACCAAGGGUUCCUGUCCAACGUUAAUCGGGGCAGGGUGAGUCGACCCCUAAGGCGAGGCCGAAAGGCGUAGUCGAUGGGAAACAGGUUAAUAUUCCUGUACUUGGUGUUACUGCGAAGGGGGGACGGAGAAGGCUAUGUUGGCCGGGCGACGGUUGUCCCGGUUUAAGCGUGUAGGCUGGUUUUCCAGGCAAAUCCGGAAAAUCAAGGCUGAGGCGUGAUGACGAGGCACUACGGUGCUGAAGCAACAAAUGCCCUGCUUCCAGGAAAAGCCUCUAAGCAUCAGGUAACAUCAAAUCGUACCCCAAACCGACACAGGUGGUCAGGUAGAGAAUACCAAGGCGCUUGAGAGAACUCGGGUGAAGGAACUAGGCAAAAUGGUGCCGUAACUUCGGGAGAAGGCACGCUGAUAUGUAGGUGAAGCGACUUGCUCGUGGAGCUGAAAUCAGUCGAAGAUACCAGCUGGCUGCAACUGUUUAUUAAAAACACAGCACUGUGCAAACACGAAAGUGGACGUAUACGGUGUGACGCCUGCCCGGUGCCGGAAGGUUAAUUGAUGGGGUCAGCGCAAGCGAAGCUCUUGAUCGAAGCCCCGGUAAACGGCGGCCGUAACUAUAACGGUCCUAAGGUAGCGAAAUUCCUUGUCGGGUAAGUUCCGACCUGCACGAAUGGCGUAAUGAUGGCCAGGCUGUCUCCACCCGAGACUCAGUGAAAUUGAACUCGCUGUGAAGAUGCAGUGUACCCGCGGCAAGACGGAAAGACCCCGUGAACCUUUACUAUAGCUUGACACUGAACAUUGAGCCUUGAUGUGUAGGAUAGGUGGGAGGCUUUGAAGUGUGGACGCCAGUCUGCAUGGAGCCGACCUUGAAAUACCACCCUUUAAUGUUUGAUGUUCUAACGUUGACCCGUAAUCCGGGUUGCGGACAGUGUCUGGUGGGUAGUUUGACUGGGGCGGUCUCCUCCUAAAGAGUAACGGAGGAGCACGAAGGUUGGCUAAUCCUGGUCGGACAUCAGGAGGUUAGUGCAAUGGCAUAAGCCAGCUUGACUGCGAGCGUGACGGCGCGAGCAGGUGCGAAAGCAGGUCAUAGUGAUCCGGUGGUUCUGAAUGGAAGGGCCAUCGCUCAACGGAUAAAAGGUACUCCGGGGAUAACAGGCUGAUACCGCCCAAGAGUUCAUAUCGACGGCGGUGUUUGGCACCUCGAUGUCGGCUCAUCACAUCCUGGGGCUGAAGUAGGUCCCAAGGGUAUGGCUGUUCGCCAUUUAAAGUGGUACGCGAGCUGGGUUUAGAACGUCGUGAGACAGUUCGGUCCCUAUCUGCCGUGGGCGCUGGAGAACUGAGGGGGGCUGCUCCUAGUACGAGAGGACCGGAGUGGACGCAUCACUGGUGUUCGGGUUGUCAUGCCAAUGGCACUGCCCGGUAGCUAAAUGCGGAAGAGAUAAGUGCUGAAAGCAUCUAAGCACGAAACUUGCCCCGAGAUGAGUUCUCCCUGACUCCUUGAGAGUCCUGAAGGAACGUUGAAGACGACGACGUUGAUAGGCCGGGUGUGUAAGCGCAGCGAUGCGUUGAGCUAACCGGUACUAAUGAACCGUGAGGCUUAACCUU
Molecule: ribosomal RNA, 2901 nt
Filed under: Escherichia coli D9
Lineage: Bacteria; Pseudomonadati; Pseudomonadota; Gammaproteobacteria; Enterobacterales; Enterobacteriaceae
Description: bacterial LSU rRNA
Rfam family: Bacterial large subunit ribosomal RNA
Source: RNAcentral